Leopardus geoffroyi (Geoffroy's cat) is the source of this 670-nucleotide long non-coding RNA. RefSeq lists it as uncharacterized. The transcript has 2 exons. The record is from RefSeq and is a predicted model, not a curated record. Lineage: Eukaryota; Metazoa; Chordata; Mammalia; Carnivora; Felidae.
GGCAGGGGCCAUCUUUCCGCGGUCUUAGCACAGACCAGCAAGCUCUGGCUGACAAGACGGUUGUCACAGCCCAACUGGGGUGACAGCCUGCAGUCACGGGCUUCACACUGUGGUGGCAGCAACAGUGGUAGCCUUAGCAACGGCGGCCUCCUUUCCUCUGGAAUCUGGCUCCAGAUCACAGCUGGGGUGUGUGACCUUGAAGUUUGAUGUAACCACGUAUCCCCCUGGACUAUGAAGCUUGUUGUGGAAACAGCCUAUCAUUCUCAUCCCGGAUUUUAUAUAUGCCAGUUUGAUCCCAUCUGUGGUAGAUGGAGACCCAGCAUGGCACGAGCUGCCCCCAAACUAGCCCUCCUGUUACCAUGUAUUUCUGUGAGAGACAGCUCCAAAGUGAUGGGCGCCUUCUGCCUCCGGAAGCCGGGUCAGGCAGGUCUGGUUACUUCCGGGAUGAGUGGCCUGGAGGUGUUCAGCCCUGGCACAACUUUUACAAAGGUGCUGACACAGAAGAAUCAUAUCUUACAUUUUUUUGAGCGAUUACUCGGGGCGGGCAUCAUUCUCAACACUUUGCACCUAGAACGAAUUUCACCCUCACAGCAACUCCGUGGGUUUGGGGCUGGAAGUACCCCAUUUCACAGAUGAGGAAACUAACAAACUGCAAAAAAAAAUAUUUAGU